This 508-nucleotide ribosomal RNA is filed under the name uncultured bacterium. Its description in RNAcentral is "bacterial SSU rRNA". It matches the Rfam family "Bacterial small subunit ribosomal RNA", at positions 17 to 518 of the family's 1533-position model. The record is from RNAcentral.
UCUUGGCUCAGGAUGAACGCUAGCGACAGGCUUAACACAUGCAAGUCGAGGGGCAGCACGGGAGUAGCAAUACAACUGGUGGCGACCGGCGCACGGGUGAGUAACGCGUAUGCAACCUACCUAUCAGAGGGGAAUAACCGGCGAAAGUCGGACUAAUACCGCAUAAAACAGGGGCACCGCAUGGUGAUAUUUGUUAAAGAAAUUCGCUGAUAGAUGGGCAUGCGUUCCAUUAGGUAGUUGGUGAGGUAACGGCUCACCAAGCCGACGAUGGAUAGGGAACUGAGAGGUUGGUCCCCCACACUGGUACUGAGACACGGACCAGACUCCUACGGGAGGCAGCAGUGAGGAAUAUUGGUCAAUGGGCGGGAGCCUGAACCAGCCAAGUCGCGUGAAGGAAGAAGGAUCUAUGGUUCGUAAACUUCUUUUGCAGGGGAAUAAAGUGCAGGACGUGUCCUGUUUUGUAUGUACCCUGAGAAUAAGGAUCGGCUAACUCCGUGCCAGCCGCGGC